Molecule: ribosomal RNA, 465 nt
Filed under: Vreelandella stevensii
Lineage: Bacteria; Pseudomonadati; Pseudomonadota; Gammaproteobacteria; Oceanospirillales; Halomonadaceae
Description: partial 16S ribosomal RNA
Rfam family: Bacterial small subunit ribosomal RNA
Source: RNAcentral
CCUACGGGAGGCUGCAGUGGGGAAUAUUGGACAAUGGGGGGAACCCUGAUCCAGCCAUGCCGCGUGUGUGAAGAAGGCCCUCGGGUUGUAAAGCACUUUCAGUGAGGAAGAACGCCUGGUGGUUAAUACCCAUCAGGAAAGACAUCACUCACAGAAGAAGCACCGGCUAACUCCGUGCCAGCAGCCGCGGUAAUACGGAGGGUGCGAGCGUUAAUCGGAAUUACUGGGCGUAAAGCGCGCGUAGGUGGCUUGAUAAGCCGGUUGUGAAAGCCCCGGGCUCAACCUGGGAACGGCAUCCGGAACUGUCAAGCUAGAGUGCAGGAGAGGAAGGUAGAAUUCCCGGUGUAGCGGUGAAAUGCGUAGAGAUCGGGAGGAAUACCAGUGGCGAAGGCGGCCUACUGGACUGACACUGACACUGGGGUGCGAAAGCGUGGGUAGCAAACAGGAUUAGAUACCCUUGUAGUC